GCAGUAACUCUGAAGGAGAGCAGAUAUCCAGAGCAGCUCCAUAGCCUGGGACAAAUUGCCCAAGCCCAUGUGGAACAGCACCUUCUCUUUGCAACUGCUUGAAGACUGUCUGGCAUCCUUAAUACGUGGCAUGGUGAAUUAGUGAGGAGCAGCAGACAAUAAGGGAGGGUGUAGCUUCUUCACUCUUGUGGUCUUUCUGAAGGCAGCUAGAUGUGCCUUUCCUCAGUGUGGCAGCACAGUUAUCUCUGUAUAGAUGGGUGCGUGUUCUUCCUGGUGCCUGGCAUCAGUCAGUGGAUGAGUAGGCAUGUUGUGGGGUCAUGUAGGCAGAUUCAGGUGUGGGAUGGGUCUCAGCCAGCUGCUCACAACAUUUCUGCAGGAGCUCUGGGGUGGGAAGCCCAGGGUCACAAUUGUUUGUGCUACAGAUGGAGUGAGAGACGCUGCUGCUGAGAAGCCUCAGAUCCUCUGAGAGAAACGUGCUGUGUUUUUUAUCACCCUGUUUGUAAUGCAUCCCAAUGCUUUCUACUCUGUAGUUCUUUCUUUCCAGCAUGCUCCUUUAUAUGACAUUUCUUCUCUCAUGACACCUUCUAAAUGCCCAUGGUGGGAGCAGAAUGAACACAAGGACCAGUUUUAUGUAGACAUGGACAAGUGUGUGCUUGCAAGCUGCACAUCGUUUUCUCACCAGUGAUACAAGAAACUCCUCAGCA
Long non-coding RNA from Gallus gallus (chicken), 704 nucleotides. The record is from Ensembl. Lineage: Eukaryota; Metazoa; Chordata; Aves; Galliformes; Phasianidae.